This 1726-nucleotide long non-coding RNA is filed under the name Volvox carteri. Its description in RNAcentral is "long non-coding RNA (VCAR_LNC001481)". The record is from RNAcentral. Lineage: Eukaryota; Viridiplantae; Chlorophyta; Chlorophyceae; Chlamydomonadales; Volvocaceae.
UUCAAUUAGGAAGGGUCUCCAACGCAACGACAAUGUACAACAAGUUACAAUGUACGUUCUUGCAUUGGCUUGUACGCAUUUAUCCCAAUGCCAGAUACGGACAGGAAUUGUAAAUUGAGAAGGGUUGUGCAUCCUUAACGGACUCAAUAGCCCUUAACCAGGGCAUGUGCGACUACGGUGGUUUUAGCUGGAGACCGAAGCUACGGAGCUUGUUAGGCCAUAAUCGAUCGUGUUACACCGUUUCAAGUCAUUCCUGGCGUCCCAUACUUGGGCAGUCUUGUGCAUCUCUACUUUGCGACCGUAAGGUGAAAUUUUAUUAAAGGCCUUGUUUUUUGGAAUGCCCUUUGGGCUUAUUGGCAUGGUAAGUCGCUGGUUCAUUCCCCAAACCUAUAUCUCCGCAGCCCUGCUGGUUUAAUUGUUUGCAGGCUGAUAGGUCCUUAAUCAUUUCCUUAUGUUGCAGGGUAAUAUGUCCUUGGAUGGCAAGUGUCAGGGAGUCGCUCUCUUGGCGGUAAUUAUGUCGUAAUUUGUAAAGUUGUAAAGGGACUGGUAUAGCCGUUUGCCAUUAAUUAUGCUGUUAGUCCCGAACUUAAAUGGGCUGGGAUUUAUGUAGGGAAAGGCGUAACACGCGCUUGUGCCCCUUCGGGUCCUUCGGAAACAGAAUAUUAUUACUCAUGCGAGGAAGCGCAACUGCUCUGACCCGCUCUUGCUAGUUUCCAAAGCAAUAGAAAUCAUGGUGAAGAUGCCUUAAUAUCACUUUACGGAACUUCCUACAGCUUCCUCUUUGCACUGCCAUGCUCCUUCACUUCACAUUUUCAUCGACCUGCUAGGUGCAUGCAUACCGCGCUACAGUUCCUUAAUUGAAUCGUAGCGGUAGCUGGCCAAUAAGAAAACACGAAGCUGAGUCUCGUACAGUUGUCAACUGCUAUAUACCACGGCCGUACCGAUCUUAACAGCGACUGCAAACAGACGGAGCCCUUCCUGGACGAAGGAAUGAAGGGAUGAAUGAAGGGGACAUCCAUCCCUGGAGAGCCGCUUCAUCUUAGCUUAAGGUUUCUGCGUACGUGGGAUGUGGAAUGUAGAGUGUGUUAGGAGGGAUACGAUCAUCAACAGAGAAUGUUGGAGGCCGUGAAAUGGGAGCCAGCACGUCUGGCGAGGAUGUUGGAGCAUAUGUGGGCUCACCGCAACUCAGUUAUCCUCUUUGGACGCUAGUCUGGGCUGAUAGUGCGGUGUUUCCUUUUCUCCGUGGCUUAUAGACGUAAAGGUAUUGCCCUUGGGCCUUCGGCUCAUGCACCCCCAACCAUGUAACACACACACACACACACACACACACACACACACACACACACACACACACACACACAUACACACACAGGCGGUCCGAAACAAGCUAAAUUACAACCGUUCGGAAGCUUGCGAACACAAAUAAAACGGGUAACACGCCAAUAGUUGGCACAACACGCCAAUGGCAUUGACAAGGAGGCAUCGGAAAAAAAUGUGCUGCCGCUGCAUUAGCCUCCAGCGCGCCUAUUUGCAGGUGCCCCAUGCAGCGCACGGCGCUCUAAGACCGGGAAUGGCGGGGAAUGACGGCAGGGCAGGUUUGAAGUACUGGGGGGCCCCAUGGCAGGACAGGAACUGGAGACGGUGAUACAAAGUAAUUUUACUUGUACAGCUUGUUGCUGUGCUGUUGCUUGUGGGAGCUUGGCAUCGAACAGCGCCUUGGGCUGCG